GGUUGAUACUCAAAGGAAUUGACGGGGACCCGCACAAGCGGUGGAGCAUGUGGUUUAAUUCGAAGCAACGCGAAGAACCUUACCCAAUCUUGACAUCCUUGGGGGGCUCUAGAGAUAGAGUCUUCCCCUUCGGGGGACAAAGUGACAGGUGAUGCAUGGUUGUCGUCAGCUCGUGUCGUGAGAUGUUGGGUUAAGUCCCGCAACGAGCGCAACCCUUAAGCUUAGUUGCCAUCAUUAAGUUGGGCACUCUAGGUUGACUGCCGGUGACAAACCGGAGGAAGGUGGGGAUGACGUCAAAUCAUCAUGCCCCUUAUGAUUUGGGCUACACACGUGCUACAAUGGAUAAUACAAAGGGCAGCGAAUCCGCGAGGCCAAGCAAAUCCCAUAAAAUUAUUCUCAGUUCGGAUUGUAGUUUGCAACUCGACUACAUGAAGCUGGAAUCGCUAGUAAUCGUAGAUCAGCAUGCUACGGUGAAUACGUUCCCGGGUCUUGUACACACCGCCCGUCACACCCCGAGAGUUUGUAACACCCGAAGCCCGGUGGAGUAACCUUUUAGGAGCUAGCGGU
RNAcentral lists this ribosomal RNA (567 nucleotides) under Mammaliicoccus sciuri. RNAcentral describes it as "bacterial SSU rRNA". It matches the Rfam family "Bacterial small subunit ribosomal RNA", at positions 892 to 1456 of the family's 1533-position model. The record is from RNAcentral. Lineage: Bacteria; Bacillati; Bacillota; Bacilli; Caryophanales; Staphylococcaceae.